Molecule: ribosomal RNA, 497 nt
Filed under: uncultured bacterium
Lineage: Bacteria
Description: partial 16S ribosomal RNA
Rfam family: Bacterial small subunit ribosomal RNA
Source: RNAcentral
GACGAACGCUGGCGGCGUGCCUAAUACAUGCAAGUUGAGCGAUGAAGAUUGGUGCUUGCACCAAUUUGAAGAGCAGCGAACGGGUGAGUAACACGUGGAUAACCUACCUAUAAGACUGGGAUAACUUCUGGAAACCGAUGCUAAUACCGGAUAAUAUAUUUAACCACAAGUUUUAAUAUUGAAAGACGCAAUUGCUUUCACUUAAAAAUGGACCCCGUCGGAGUAAGUAGGUUGGGAGGGUAAGGGCUAACAAAGGCAACAAUGCGUACCCGACCUGAGAGGGUGAUCGGCCACACUGGAACGGAGACACGGUCCAGACCCCAACGGGGGCAACCGGUAGGAAAUCUUCCGCAAUGAGGAAAGGCUUAACGGGGAAACGCCGCGGAGUGAAUGAAGGUCUUCGAACCUAAAACCUCUUUUAUUAGGAAGGAACAAAUUUGGAGUUAAAUAUGCACGUCUUGACGGUACCUAAUCAGAAAGCCACGGCUAACUACGUG